This 78-nucleotide small RNA is filed under the name Flavobacterium sp. 1. RNAcentral's name for it is "Flavo-1 RNA". It matches the Rfam family "Flavo-1 RNA". The record is from RNAcentral. Lineage: Bacteria; Pseudomonadati; Bacteroidota; Flavobacteriia; Flavobacteriales; Flavobacteriaceae.
CUUUAGCCCCGAUUACAGUGAAAAUCCUUGCGAGCCGGGGUUCGGCUCACAAGAUUGUAACGGAAAGCGGGACGAUAC